GACGAACGCUGGCGGCGUGCUUAACACAUGCAAGUCGAACGGAAAGGCCCUGCUUUUGUGGGGUGCUCGAGUGGCGAACGGGUGAGUAACACGUGAGUAACCUGCCGUCGACUUUGGGAUAACUUCAGGAAACAGGGGCUAAUACCGGAUAGGAGCUCCUGCUGCAUGGUGGGGGUUGGAAAGUUUCGGCGGUUGGGGAUGGACGCGCGGCUUAUCAGCUUGUUGGUGGGGUAGUGGCUUACCAAGGCUUUGACGGGUAGCCGGCCUGAGAGGGUGACCAGCCACAUUGGGACUGCGAUACGGCCCAGACUCCUACGGGAGGCAGCAGUGGGGAAUAUUGCACAAUGGGCGGAAGCCUGAUGCAGCAACGCCGCGUGCGGGAUGCCGGCCUUCGGGUUGUAAACCGCUUUCGCCUGUGACGUAGCGUCAGUGACGGUAAUGGGUAAAGAAGCACCGGCUAACUACGUG
This 468-nucleotide ribosomal RNA is filed under the name uncultured bacterium. Its description in RNAcentral is "partial 16S ribosomal RNA". It matches the Rfam family "Bacterial small subunit ribosomal RNA", at positions 28 to 507 of the family's 1533-position model. The record is from RNAcentral.